CGACUGUUUAGCAAAAACACAGGUCUGUGCGAAGCCGCAAGGCGAAGUAUACGGGCUGACGCCUGCCCGGUGCUGGAAGGUUAAGGGGAGUGGUUAGGGGUAACCCGAAGCUAUGAACCGAAGCCCCAGUAAACGGCGGCCGUAACUAUAACGGUCCUAAGGUAGCGAAAUUCCUUGUCAGGUAAAUUCUGACCCGCACGAA
This 202-nucleotide ribosomal RNA is filed under the name Paenibacillus etheri. RNAcentral describes it as "partial 23S ribosomal RNA". It matches the Rfam family "Bacterial large subunit ribosomal RNA", at positions 1797 to 1996 of the family's 2925-position model. Lineage: Bacteria; Bacillati; Bacillota; Bacilli; Caryophanales; Paenibacillaceae. The record is from RNAcentral.